Long non-coding RNA from Cercocebus atys (sooty mangabey), 201 nucleotides. RefSeq lists it as uncharacterized. The transcript has 3 exons. The record is from RefSeq and is a predicted model, not a curated record. Lineage: Eukaryota; Metazoa; Chordata; Mammalia; Primates; Cercopithecidae.
UCCUAUCAUUUUUUUGUUUUCUGUAUUUUAAUAUACUAAUGAGAUAAAGUGCUGGAGACAAUCUGACACGUGCUAAUGAAUUCAGUAAAAGAGAUGUUCAGAGCCACCAUUUCUUAGAUGCGUGAAAGGGAAGUCUGAUGAGAAAACUGAGGCUGAAGGUGAUUAAUUUAGGAGCAAAUUCUCAGAAUUAUUAUUGACAGG